This 496-nucleotide ribosomal RNA is filed under the name uncultured bacterium. RNAcentral describes it as "partial 16S ribosomal RNA". It matches the Rfam family "Bacterial small subunit ribosomal RNA", at positions 28 to 506 of the family's 1533-position model. The record is from RNAcentral.
GAUGAACGCUGGCGGCGUGCCUAAUACAUGCAAGUCGAGCGAACAGACGAGGAGCUUGCUCCUCUGACGUUAGCGGCGGAAGGGUGAGUAACACGUGGAUAACCUACCUAUAAGACUGGGAUAACUUCGGGAAACCGGAGCUAAUACCGGAUAAUAUAUUGAACCGCAUGGUUCAAUAGUGAAAGACGGUUUUGCUGUCACUUAUAGAUGGAUCCGCGCCGCAUUAGCUAGUUGGUAAGGUAACGGCUUACCAAGGCAACGAUGCGUAGCCGACCUGAGAGGGUGAUCGGCCACACUGAAACUGAGACCCGGUCCAGACUCCUACGGGAGGCAGCAGUAGGGAAUCUUCCGCAAUGGGCGAAAGCCUGACGGAGCAACGCCGCGUGAGUGAUGAAGGUCUUCGGCUCGUAAAACUCUGUUAUUAGGGAAGAACAAAUGUGUAAGUAACUAUGCACGUCUUGACGGUACCUAAUCAGAAAGCCACGGCUAACUACGU